This 470-nucleotide ribosomal RNA is filed under the name Tolypocladium pustulatum. Its description in RNAcentral is "LSU rRNA". It matches the Rfam family "Eukaryotic large subunit ribosomal RNA", at positions 439 to 937 of the family's 3401-position model. The record is from RNAcentral. Lineage: Eukaryota; Fungi; Ascomycota; Sordariomycetes; Hypocreales; Ophiocordycipitaceae.
GGGCCCGGUGUGUCAUCCAGCGUUCUCGCUGGUCCACUCCGCCGGGCUCAGGCCAGCAUCUGUUCGCCGCGGGGGACAAAAGCUUCGGCAACGGGGCUCCCUCGGGAGUGUUAUAGCCCGUUGCCCAAUCCCCUGCGGGGGACUGAGGUUCGCGCUCCGCAAGGAGGCAGGCGUAAUGGUCAUCAGCGACCCGUCUUGAAACACGGACCAGGGAGUCGUCUUGGUUUGCGAGUGUUCGGGUGUGAAACCCCUACGCGUAAUGAAAGUGAAGGCAGGUCAGAGUUUGGGCGCAUCAUCGACCGAUCCUGAUGUUUUCGGAUGGAUUUGAGUAAGAGCAUAGGGGGCCGGACCCGAAAGAAGGUGAACUAUGCCUGUAUAGGGUGAAGCCAGAGGAAACUCUGGUGGAGGCUCGCAGCGGUUCUGACGUGCAAAUCGAUCGUCAAAUAUGGCAUGGGGGCGAAAGACUAUCG